RNAcentral lists this ribosomal RNA (423 nucleotides) under uncultured bacterium. RNAcentral's name for it is "bacterial SSU rRNA". It matches the Rfam family "Bacterial small subunit ribosomal RNA", at positions 30 to 458 of the family's 1533-position model. The record is from RNAcentral.
AUUGAACGCUGGCGGCAUGCCUUACACAUGCAAGUCGAACGGCAGCGGGCCUUCGGGUGCCGGCGAGUGGCGAACGGGUGAGUAAUGCAUCGGAACGUGCCAUUGAGUGGGGGAUAACGUAGCGAAAGUUGCGCUAAUACCGCAUAUUCUGUGAGCAGGAAAGCAGGGGACCGCAAGGCCUUGCGCUCUUUGAGCGGCCGAUGUCAGAUUAGCUAGUUGGUGAGGUAAAGGCUUACCAAGGCGACGAUCUGUAGCGGGUCUGAGAGGAUGAUCCGCCACACUGGAACUGAGACACGGUCCAGACUCCUACGGGAGGCAGCAGUGGGGAAUUUUGGACAAUGGGGGCAACCCUGAUCCAGCCAUGCCGCGUGAGUGAAGAAGGCCUCGGUGUAAGACUCUUCGGCGGACGAAGUACGCAUGGUG